GUUCAGGCAGCCGCCAGGGCAACUGAAGUUUGGGAAUGCGCAGGUAGGGAAGGAAGCUGAAAUUCAAACUUUUUUGAUGUUGCUCUUCAGCUCCAGGGUAUCCCUGCACCCCAACCCUGCAGCCCUGGGGCCCUGGCAGCUGCACGGACUGGAGAAGCAAGCUGGGAAAAGAGAGCAACAUGACCCGACGUGUUUAAAAGAAGGCAAAACACUUCAGCAAUUAAAAGUAGCCUAACAGCUUCUCUCUUUCAAAUUGGGGAGAGGGGGCGAAAAACUUUGAACGUCCACAGGCUUCUGUUACAUACGCUUAAACGGCACUCCUGGAAUAUUCCGGAUUUAAAACUUGCUUUUUUCCACACCAGCUGGCAAACUACACGGCUUGAGGGCCUCAUUAAAUCCUUCCUCGCCGAGACUCUUGAGCUCAGACCGGCAUUUUGUAGUCGUGUCCCCCCAUCCCCUCCAUAUCGGAGUCGCGGUCCCUCGGAAAACAGAUUCCCAGCCUCUCCAGAACAGAAGAGGAAAUCUACCAGCAAAACGUCAUCCCGAGAUUCACUUCCCCAAGGGACCCCCACCUCUCGACCCACAGUCCGGCAAUGGGGCUGGAGAGACUCGAACCCCUCCCGGCAGCGGCGACACCCAGAGCGCACACAGGGAAACCGAGCAGACUCGCGACACCCGGCUCAAGAGCAGCACAUUAUGGACGAAAGAAUCACCGAAAAAUUGCCCCAAUCCUGCCUGGUCAAUGCCCCGCGCCCCCCAGGCAGCCCCACGCAAACUUCGCCCCCCAAAACUCUGGUCUCCAGAUUCCCAUGUAAUCCCCGCCAGGAACUGUUGAAACUCAAAGGGUGGGGAGCAGAGAGUCAAAUUCCUUCAAACUGAGGGGGGAAAAUGGGGCGGAAUAAACAACCAUCUCGCCUCUC
Aethalodelphis obliquidens (Pacific white-sided dolphin) is the source of this 920-nucleotide long non-coding RNA. RefSeq lists it as uncharacterized. Lineage: Eukaryota; Metazoa; Chordata; Mammalia; Artiodactyla; Delphinidae. The record is from RefSeq and is a predicted model, not a curated record. The transcript is spliced from 2 exons.